UGUUUGUACUUUUUUCAGCAGAUGCAGAAACACCUGAUCCGGAUAAACAUUCACAAAACAGUUAUUUUAUCGAGAAAGAUGAAAUUAAGUUGAUGAAAACGAUGAGAGGAAAGUCUGUCACGUUACACAGCGAUCUCACUGAAAUACAGGAUGAUGAGCUGAUCUGGUGGAAAUUUGCUGAUUCCAGUGGAAACAAAGAGGCUGUAUUUUCAGUCAUAGCUAAAUGGGAUAAAACAAAUAACGAGGAAAACCUAUGCAAUGAAGAAAGAUUCAGAGACAGAUUGCAUCUGGACCACAAUACUGGAUCUCUGACCAUCACAAACAUCACAAAUGAACUCUGUGGACAUUAUAAACUACACAUCACCAGUGACAGACUGAAGAACUCCACGACAUUCAGUGUUGCUUUUUAUGAUCAGAAGAAAAGACCAGAGAUCCAGAGGAUUGGCCUUGAUAGCAGAAGAGUACACAGUGUUUAAACUCGGGGAUAUUUCAAUUCAGUUUCCAAAACAAUGGAAC
This is a long non-coding RNA of Carassius auratus (goldfish), 516 nucleotides long. RefSeq lists it as uncharacterized. Lineage: Eukaryota; Metazoa; Chordata; Actinopteri; Cypriniformes; Cyprinidae. The record is from RefSeq and is a predicted model, not a curated record. The transcript has 3 exons.